GCAAACUUGGUCAUUUAGAGGAAGUAAAAGUCGUAACAAGGUUUCCGUAGGUGAACCUGCGGAAGGAUCAUUAACGAAUUUGAUUAUAUCUUUUUCUGUGAAUAUUUUCCCUUUGGGAAUUGUGCUUCGGCCCUAGUACUUGUACAAGGGCCGGUAGAAAACUUUUUAAACCUUUGUCUAAAACUAAUUAUACUAAUAAUUAAAACUUUCAACAACGGAUCUCUAGGUUCUCGCAUCGAUGAAGAACGCAGC
This 252-nucleotide unclassified non-coding RNA is filed under the name uncultured fungus. RNAcentral's name for it is "partial contains small subunit ribosomal RNA, internal transcribed spacer 1, and 5.8S ribosomal RNA". The stretch from base 1 to 73 matches the Rfam family "Eukaryotic small subunit ribosomal RNA", at positions 1759 to 1831 of the family's 1831-position model. Lineage: Eukaryota; Fungi. The record is from RNAcentral.